Molecule: small nuclear RNA, 108 nt
Filed under: Bison bison bison
Lineage: Eukaryota; Metazoa; Chordata; Mammalia; Artiodactyla; Bovidae
Source: RNAcentral
GUGCUCGUUUCGGCAGCACAUAUACUAAUAUUGGAACGAUACAGAGAAGAUUUAGCAUGGUCCCUGAGCAAGGAUGACACGCACGUUCAUGAAGUGUUCCAUAUUUUU